RNAcentral lists this ribosomal RNA (253 nucleotides) under uncultured bacterium. RNAcentral describes it as "partial 16S ribosomal RNA". It matches the Rfam family "Bacterial small subunit ribosomal RNA", at positions 524 to 776 of the family's 1533-position model. The record is from RNAcentral.
UACGUAGGUGGCAAGCGUUGUCCGGAUUUACUGGGCGUAAAGCGCGUGUAGGCGGCCCUGCAAGUCGGGUGUGAAAUCCCACGGCUCAACCGUGGAAGUGCACUCGAAACUGCAGGGCUAGAGUCCUGGAGAGGAAGGUGGAAUGCUUGGUGUAGAGGUGAAAUUCGUAGAUAUCAAGCGGAACACCGGUGGCGAAGGCGGCCUUCUGGACAGUGACUGACGCUGAGACGCGAAAGCGUGGGGAGCAAACAGG